UGCAGUCGAGCGAACAGACGAGGAGCUUGCUCCUYUGACGUUAGCGGCGGACGGGUGAGUAACACGUGGAUAACCUACCUAUAAGACUGGGAUAACUUCGGGAAACCGGAGCUAAUACCGGAUAACAUGUUGAACCGCAUGGUUCAACAGUGAAAGACGGUCUUGCUGUCACUUAUAGAUGGAUCCGCGCCGCAUUAGCUAGUUGGUAAGGUAACGGCUUACCAAGGCAACGAUGCGUAGCCGACCUGAGAGGGUGAUCGGCCACACUGGAACUGAGACACGGUCCAGACUCCUACGGGAGGCAGCAGUAGGGAAUCUUCCGCAAUGGGCGAAAGCCUGACGGAGCAACGCCGCGUGAGUGAAGAAGGUCUUCGGAUCGUAAAACUCUGUUAUUAGGGAAGAACAAAUGUGUAAGUAACUAUGCACGUCUUGACGGUACCUAAUCAGAAAGCCACGGCUAACUACGUGCCAGCAGCCGCGGUAAUACGUAGGUGGCAAGCGUUAUCCGGAAUUAUUGGGCGUAAAGCGCGCGUAGGCGGUUUUUUAAGUCUGAUGUGAAAGCCCACGGCUCAACCGUGGAGGGUCAUUGGAAACUGGAAAACUUGAGUGCAGAAGAGGAAAGUGGAAUUCCAUGUGUAGCGGUGAAAUGCGCAGAGAUAUGGAGGAACACCAGUGGCGAAGGCGACUUUCUGGUCUGUAACUGACGCUGAUGUGCGAAAGCGUGGGGAUCAAACAGGAUUAGAUACCCUGGUAGUCCACGCCGUAAACGAUGAGUGCUAAGUGUUA
RNAcentral lists this ribosomal RNA (786 nucleotides) under Staphylococcus sp. RNAcentral's name for it is "bacterial SSU rRNA". The record is from RNAcentral. Lineage: Bacteria; Bacillati; Bacillota; Bacilli; Caryophanales; Staphylococcaceae.